Molecule: long non-coding RNA, 278 nt
Organism: Agrilus planipennis (emerald ash borer)
Lineage: Eukaryota; Metazoa; Arthropoda; Insecta; Coleoptera; Buprestidae
Exons: 3
Source: RefSeq, a predicted model, not a curated record
UUAAUCAACACAGUUCCUCAAAAGGGUGGUUGAUUAAAAACAUUGGUCCUAAUAACUUCCGUCCUUCCGAAGAAGUUCUAAACAAUGGAGGGAAAGCUGAAUGCCAACAAACUGCUAAUGAUAAGAUGCUGUGUGAUAAUCUCUACUUCUUAAUAAAUGGAUACAAGUCCAGAAACUUCAAUAAAACUCUUUUGGAAAAAGCAAUUCAAGAUCAUUAUGGAAGCACUUCCAGUCGUCAAAUAAUUCAUUUUGCACAACUCGCAAAAACUGGUAAGUAA